This 26-nucleotide small RNA is filed under the name Bombyx mori (domestic silkworm). Its description in RNAcentral is "ovarian small RNA-34065". The record is from RNAcentral. Lineage: Eukaryota; Metazoa; Arthropoda; Insecta; Lepidoptera; Bombycidae.
UGCUAAUCUGGUAGGGUCCGUCACGC